UACGUAGGGGGCAAGCGUUGUCCGGAAUCAUUGGGCGUAAAGCGCGCGUAGGCGGCCCGGUAAGUCCGCUCUGAAAGUCCAGGGCUUAACCCUGGAAAGCGGGUGGAUACUGCCGGGCUUGAAUCCGGAAGAGGCGAGUGGAAUUCCUGGUGUAGCGGUGGAAUGCGCAGAUAUCAGGAGGAACACCGGUGGCGAAGGCGGCACUCUGGGCCGGUACUGACGCUGAGGAGCGAAAGCGUGGGGAGCGAACAGG
This 253-nucleotide ribosomal RNA is filed under the name uncultured bacterium. RNAcentral describes it as "partial 16S ribosomal RNA". It matches the Rfam family "Bacterial small subunit ribosomal RNA", at positions 524 to 776 of the family's 1533-position model. The record is from RNAcentral.